This 90-nucleotide non-coding RNA is filed under the name Pseudomonas taetrolens. The record is from RNAcentral. Lineage: Bacteria; Pseudomonadati; Pseudomonadota; Gammaproteobacteria; Pseudomonadales; Pseudomonadaceae.
CUUUAUGGCAGUUGUACGUGGGAGAUCUUCGGAUCUGCCGGGGAUUCUUGGGUACACCGGUUCGCCAACCCGCGUACAGCGGCCACCUGU